UCUCCGUUGGUGAACCAGCGGAGGGAUCAUUACCGAGUUUACAACUCCCAAACCCAAUGUGAACGUUACCAAACUGUUGCCUCGGCGGGAUCUCUGCCCCGGGUGCGACGCAGCCCCGGACCAAGGCGCCCGCCGGAGGACCAACCAAAACUCUUUAUGUAUACCCCCUCGCGGGUUUUUUUACAAUCUGAGCCAUCUCGGCGCCCCUCGUGGGCGUUUCGAAAAUGAAUCAAAACUUUCAACAACGGAUCUCUUGGUUCUG
RNAcentral lists this unclassified non-coding RNA (262 nucleotides) under plant metagenome. RNAcentral's name for it is "partial contains small subunit ribosomal RNA, internal transcribed spacer 1, and 5.8S ribosomal RNA". The record is from RNAcentral.